UACAGAGGGGGCAAGCGUUGUUCGGAAUUACUGGGCGUAAAGGGCUCGUAGGCGGCCAACUAAGUCGGAUGUGAAAUCCCCAGGCUCAACCUGGGAACUGCAUCCGAUACUGGAUGGCUUGAAUUCGGGAGAGGGAUGCAGAAUUCCAGGUGUAGCGGUGAAAUGCGUAGAUAUCGAGAGGAACACCAGUGGCGAAGGCGAGUCCCUGGACAACACCUGACACUGAGGCACGAAAGCUAGGGGAGCAAACAGG
This 253-nucleotide ribosomal RNA is filed under the name uncultured bacterium. Its description in RNAcentral is "partial 16S ribosomal RNA". It matches the Rfam family "Bacterial small subunit ribosomal RNA", at positions 524 to 776 of the family's 1533-position model. The record is from RNAcentral.